This 407-nucleotide ribosomal RNA is filed under the name uncultured bacterium. RNAcentral describes it as "bacterial SSU rRNA". It matches the Rfam family "Bacterial small subunit ribosomal RNA", at positions 356 to 773 of the family's 1533-position model. The record is from RNAcentral.
CGAGGAUCUUCGGCAGUGGGCGCAAGCCUGACCGAGCGACGCCGCGUGUGCGAUGAAGGCCUUCGGGUUGUAAAGCACUGUCGAGGGGGAGGAAGCCGAAAGGUUGACCUAUCCCUGGAGGAAGCACGGGCUAAGUUCGUGCCAGCAGCCGCGGUAAGACGAACCGUGCAAACGUUGUUCGGAAUCACUGGGCUUAAAGGGCGCGUAGGCGGGCCAGCCAGUCUGUGGUGAAAGCCUCCAGCUUAACUGGAGAAGUGCCGUGGAUACUGCUGGCCUCGAGGAGGAUAGGGGCACCUGGAACGGUCGGUGGAGCGGUGAAAUGCGUUGAUAUCGACCGGAACUCCGGUGGCGAAGGCGAGGUGCUGGGUCCUUUCUGACGCUGAUGCGCGAAAGCCAGGGGAGCAAAC